This 810-nucleotide ribosomal RNA is filed under the name Triticum aestivum (bread wheat). Its description in RNAcentral is "partial small subunit ribosomal RNA". Lineage: Eukaryota; Viridiplantae; Streptophyta; Magnoliopsida; Poales; Poaceae. The record is from RNAcentral.
AUGCGUUCCAUCCAUCUGCGCCGCCGCUUCCGAUCGCAGUUACCGCGCGUGCCAUCUCCCGCGACUUGCUCCGCUGCCGCCGCGCGCUGUCUCAUCCACGCCACCGCUGCGAUGUCAUCCGCCGCUAUGUCCGUCGCCCAAACUAGCGGCGCGAUCGUCUCUUCUCUCGUCGCCUCGAUCCCCGCCGCGCUCGUCGUCCCGAUGAUCUCCGUCCGCCUCGGUCGCCACAACUUCAUGCUCUGGGGGGCCAUCACCAGCACCGUUCUUGCCGGUGCCAACCUCCAUGGACACCUCGAUGGCACCAAGGCGGCACCGGCCAAAACACUCGUUGUCGGCACCGGCGACGCUGCUACCACCAUCGCCAACCCGGAGUACCACCAAUGGUGGGUUCAAGAUCAGCGCGUCAAGGGGCUUCUUCUCACCUCCAUGGAUGAGGAUAUUGCAUGCCAACUUAUUGGCUGCGAGUCGGCGCAUACGGUAUGGACAGCCGUCGCCGCCAUGUUCGGCGCCCAGAGCCGCGCCAAUGUCCGCCACAUCCCGCGGCAACUUCAGUCGCUGAGGAAGGAUGAUCUGUUUGCCGCGGAAUACGUGCACAAGAUGAAGGCCCUGGCCGACACUAUGGCCGCCGCCGGCUCUCCGAUCCGGGAUGAUGAGCUUAUCGAUCACAUCCUCACUGGCCUCGGCUCCGCCUACAACUCCAUCGCCGCCUCCUUGGGCGUGAGUAAUGCACCCAUGCCCUACUCCAGUUUUUACUCAUUGGUUCUGUCCUUCGAGGCGCUGCAGGCACAACAGAGUGCGGUGGAGGGGUGA